GCAAGUUGAACGAGACGCACUAGCUUGCUAGUGCUGAGAGUGGCGAAAGGGUGAGUAACGCGUGAAUAACAUACCUUCAAGUUUGGGAUAACAGUUGGAAACGACUGCUAAUACCGGAUGUGGUUGGGUUCUUAUGGGACCUUAACUAAAGAUUUAUUGCUUGAUGAGUGGUUCGCGUCCCAUUAUGCUAGUUGGUAAGGUAACGGCUUACCAAGGCUUUGACGGGUAGGUGGUCUGAGAGGAUGGUC
RNAcentral lists this ribosomal RNA (248 nucleotides) under uncultured bacterium. RNAcentral describes it as "partial 16S ribosomal RNA". It matches the Rfam family "Bacterial small subunit ribosomal RNA", at positions 57 to 305 of the family's 1533-position model. The record is from RNAcentral.